Molecule: long non-coding RNA, 672 nt
Organism: Mustela erminea (ermine)
Lineage: Eukaryota; Metazoa; Chordata; Mammalia; Carnivora; Mustelidae
Exons: 4
Source: RefSeq, a predicted model, not a curated record
UUCAAUAUUUGCUCAACUAAAAGUUGUAAUCAUGGUAAAAAUAAAUGAAUUAGAACCAGCUCCUACGGAUGGCUUACAUAAACAGUCUGGAGUUGUAACUCUACUUCCACAUGAAUAAGGAAAUGCAUGUGAAGUAUUAACAGAUAAUCCAGAAAGUAAUAAUCAUUCAUUAUAAUAGAUCUCAGAAAAUAUAUAAAGGAGAUACACAACGAAAGGCAAAGAAAUGAUCACAUGGAGAUGCUUCAACAUUCCAGAACUUCAAGUUGCCUCUGUGUCAAAGGCCAGGCACGGAGCAAUGUGGAAAUCCAUUGGCUGUGACCACGGGCUGGAGCCUUGUCCAAGAGGCCCUGCUCAGCUGAGAAGCCUUGGGUCACAUGACCUUGGCUGGUCAAACAGACUACCCAUUGAGGAAGAAGCCAUGGUGGUGGUGCAUGUCAGAGGCCACUGACUUAUGAAGAAACCUUUUCCCUUGCCAUACGGCAAGAGAAGAAGCAUCAAUCAAUCAAUCAAUCCUUGCUGAGAUCAGAUAUGGCCACUUUCUUUCAAUACUGCAGUUGUCAGAUUCAUAAAAUAAACAGUUUGCUUGAGCCUGAAGUGAAAUAUUUUCUAUUACUGCUGUAUGUGUUAGCCCCACACAAUACUGGACCAUUUGCUCAUUCCAUAAAUAUGUAU